GGUGAGUAACACGUGGGCAACCUGCCUGUAAGAUCGGGAUAACUCCGGGAAACCGGGGCUAAUACCGGAUAAUACUUUUUCUCGCGUGGGGAGAAGUUGAAAGAUGGCUUCGGCUAUCGCUUACAGAUGGGCCCGCGGCGCAUUAGCUAGUUGGUAGGGUAACGGCCUACCAAGGCAACGAUGCGUAGCCGACCUGAGAGGGUGAUCGGCCACACUGGGACUGAGACACGGCCCAGACUCCUACGGGAGGCAGCAGUAGGGAAUCUUCCGCAAUGGACGAAAGUCUGACGGAGCAACGCCGCGUGAGUGAUGAAGGUUUUUGGAUCGUAAAACUCUGUUGUGAGGGAAGAACAAGUACCGUUCGAAGAGGGCGGUACCGUGACGGUACCUCACCAGAAAGCCCCGGCUAACUACGUGCCAGCAGCCGCGGUAAUACGUAGGGGGCAAGCGUUGUCCGGAAUUAUUGGGCGUAAAGCGCGCGCAGGCGGUCUUUUAAGUCUGAUGUGAAAUCUCGCGGCUCANCCGCGAGCGGUCAUUGGAAACUGGAGGACUUGAGUGCAGAAGAGGAGAGUGGAAUUCCACGUGUAGCGGUGAAAUGCGUANAGAUGUGGAGGAACACCAGUGGCGAANGCGACUCUCUGGUCUGUAACUGACGCUGANGUGCGAAAGCGUGGGGAGCGAACAGGAUUAGAUACCCUGGUAGUCCACGCC
Molecule: ribosomal RNA, 711 nt
Filed under: uncultured bacterium
Lineage: Bacteria
Description: bacterial SSU rRNA
Rfam family: Bacterial small subunit ribosomal RNA
Source: RNAcentral